Molecule: ribosomal RNA, 421 nt
Filed under: Bacillota bacterium
Lineage: Bacteria; Bacillati; Bacillota
Description: Firmicutes bacterium partial 16S ribosomal RNA
Rfam family: Bacterial small subunit ribosomal RNA
Source: RNAcentral
UGGGGAAUAUUGCGCAAUGGCCGCAAGGCUGACGCAGCGACGCCGCGUGAGGGAUGACGGCCUUCGGGUUGUAAACCUCUGUUGCCCGGGACGAAUCGCCCCAUGCGUGGGGUUUGACGGUACCGGGUGAGGAAGCACCGGCUAACUCCGUGCCAGCAGCCGCGGUAAUACGGAGGGUGCGAGCGUUGUCCGGAAUCACUGGGCGUAAAGGGCGCGUAGGCGGUGGGGUCAGCGUGUGGUGAAAGUCCGGGGCUCAACCCCGGAUCGGCCGUGCGAACUGCCCCACUUGAGCACUGUAGAGGCAGGUGGAAUUCCGGGUGUAGCGGUGGAAUGCGUAGAGAUCCGGAAGAACACCAGAGGCGAAGGCGGCCUGCUGGGCAGUGGCUGACGCUGAGGCGCGACAGCGUGGGGAGCAAACAGG